This 119-nucleotide small nuclear RNA is filed under the name Acanthisitta chloris (rifleman). Its description in RNAcentral is "U5 spliceosomal RNA". It matches the Rfam family "U5 spliceosomal RNA". From Rfam's summary of the family: U5 RNA is a component of both types of known spliceosome. The precise function of this molecule is unknown, though it is known that the 5' loop is required for splice site selection and p220 binding, and that both the 3' stem-loop and the Sm site are important for Sm protein binding and cap methylation. The record is from Rfam by way of RNAcentral. Lineage: Eukaryota; Metazoa; Chordata; Aves; Passeriformes; Acanthisittidae.
ACACUCUGGUUUCUCUUCAGAUCAUAUAAAUCUUUUUCCCCUUACUAAAGAUUUUCUUGGAGAAGAACAGACAUAAGAGUUGGGGAAUAUAUAUUGUGAAAGAGCAAUUCAGUGAAAUC